CAAAUCCCACCAAUAGAUGCCUGCGGUCGUCCCCUUCAUGACUUCGCUGUUGGCCCGUCCCUCUGCGAGCCUCGACCGUCGGGCCCCCGUUUUCCCUCCCGGCGCUGGCCACUCCAUCGCCCUUCCGACAGAGGCACCUCCUCCGCCUCUGCUUUGCGUAUGUGGGAUCACACAACCACUGAUCAUAUGGCCGGUUCCUCAGGUCGGGCACCAGAUGCUCCGAACCUGCCAUAUCAUGCUCUGCUAUGGCGGGAACGAUACGAUCGCCUGGGCCACCUCCCAUGGUCCUCGGCAGCUCCAAAUAAGAGGUGAGAAAUCACGCGCACCUGCAUGUGUUCGAUAUUGUGUGCAAUGAUCAUAGUGGAUUCGGCAUGGAGGGCGGUGGAGCUUCUGGGUCUCGAUCAUCACAGACGUGAACAUAACAGGCAGGACAGACGGCGUAGGAAAGGCGCGCGAUCGAGAGACGGCCGCCUUUGGCAUCACAAGACCUCGAUGUCGUCAUGGCAGUCAGACGCGUGAUGCGUCCGGCAACGCGUCCUCACUCCCAGACAACUCGCAGUCGUUCCCCGACGACGACGCUUGCGGCUUGCCCCGCCGCCCUAUGCAGCCCUCCCGCCGUCAGCGUGUGAGGUCGCUACGGCCCGGCUACCUUGCGCCCUCUCACGUCUCUCUGGCCGCAGCCCGGCGCCACCUUCCAGCGCAGAUGGGAGGCCGCCGCCUUGAGCUCGCGCCAGCCCAGCUGCAAGUCAGCCGUGGACGAGGUCGACUUGCAUACACGGGAGAUGGCGCAGAGUGCUGGCCGCGAUCGCCGCGGCGGUGAUGGGCAUGGCCCGGCCAAUACGGUGAUGGACGAGAUGGUCUACAGCAUGAACAACAAGAAAGCGCACUACGGCACUCUCGCGGCCUCGCCAAAACCCCUGUGCCCCAGGCCGUAUCUCUGGCUACUCCUCCAGCGGCUCCGCCGUCGCCGUCGCCCGAAGCCUUGCUGACUUCGCCCUGGCCACAGAAAGCGGCGGCAGCGUUAGGGUGUCCGCUGCCUAUUGCGGCAACUACAGGCUCCGGCCCUCCCACGGACUGGUGCGCACUGAAUAUGUCAUCCUGUUGGCACAUAUGUUCGACACUGUCGGUUUCAGUUAUGCUUCUGCGAUAUUUGCCCCGCGAUGGAGCCAGUCGAACAUAUGUUGCUUUCACUGCAGGGCCGGGUCGAGCUGUGGAAUGCCCUGGGGCUACUCACUAUAGCACUAUACUCCUCCUACUCAUUGUCUUUGUUUCCAUUGAGGUUUAGGACAGUUCGUAAUAUGCGUCUUCGAUAGUAUGCACAUCUCCAAAACGGUAUCCUGCAUGAGCAUUGCAGAGGUGUGGACCAAAGACGCUGUCAUGAAGGGGUAUUUUCUCUUUCAUCGGUAACUUCCACUUGAAUCUGUUCCCAAUGGAAGAACAGUGCACUAUAUCACAAAGGAAUGCCUUAUCUACCAUUGUUGCUCUUCUUAUUCAUCUACAAUGAGAUGCUCUUCAUGGAAGACAUAGCGCGGGCUGCAACCUUUCCAGUUUCUUCCGGUUCUGCACUACUUACAAGAUCAGUGGUUUCUUCUUAUUUUGUCUUACAUGAAUGAAAUGAUCAUUCUCUAUGGUGAAUAUGAUCAUUGUAUUUUUUUUGUUAUUCAUGCUGGGCUAAGGGGGGAAAUGUCAUUUUUUUUGUUAUUCAUGCUGGGCUAAGGGGGGAAAUGUCAUUUUUUUUGUUAUUCAUGCUGGGCUAAGGGGGGAAAUGUCUAAUUUUAUAGCAUUGAUCAGGUUUUCUCUUCGCAAUACUAUACUAAAAUAUAAAUCAAUGGUGAAUGCAUAUCCCCAUAUUGCUUUAAAAUACAGAGACCCAUGUCAUAAUCAACGAAACAAAAAGCGCGCUAUUUCACCGUUAUAGUGUCGCUAUAGCGUAUUUGGAAGGGGCACACUAUAUUUAGCAAAUUUGCUCGAUAUGGCGCUAAUCAUGCUAAACAUAAUUACAUUAUGUUGUAGCACUGUAGUGUGCACGGUGCACCCAACAACAUUACACUGCAUACUGUAGCGCAUCAGACCACCCAGGGGUGGCGGCGUCUCUGGACCGGCAGGGGCUGUGGCUUCUUCAUCAAGCAUUCAAUGUUGCAAAAAGAAACUUAUUUAGUGUUCAAGAUUUUGCAUGAACCUUACAAUGGCAACUCAACAUGGCCUGUCAACAUGCGACUUUUCAGCAAAAUGAAUUCACAAGACAAAUCAAAACUCGAACAAUAAUCUAUGACAAUUUUUCAGAUACCAUACCAUUACCCAUGUAUCCACAGCAACCACACACCAUUGACUCGAUGGUGACAUACCCUGGUGUCAAAGUGCACAGAAUCGCAUCCAAGAAUUUGCAUAGGCGCUCUGCCAUUUCAUCAUCGACACCAAUCUAGCAUGUGGUCGUAGAACGAUGAAAUGAUUUACCAUAACGACACAAAUUUAGCAUGCAAGCUCUAAUUGUAUUCCCCCUUGUAUGAAAUGUAGCAACUGUUUUAUUCAAUAAACUUUUCCAGUGUCCACAUAUAACAACUUAAUGUUCAUGCAUACGUUAUAAUGUAGAAAACAAGCAACAACUAAGCCAUUAGUUGUACAAUUAACAAAUAAACUUUUCCAGCAUCCAUAUAUAAGAACUUAAUGUUCAUACGGGAGUACAUCAUAGUGUAAAAAACAAGCAACAACUGAGCCAUUAGAUGGAAAAUUAACACAUAAACUUUUCCAUCACCACAUAAAGACCUUUCAUAUUAUGUUUCAACAGGCGCGGCGUGCCGCCGCGCGGGCAUGCUAGUCUCAACUAAAACUGA
Molecule: non-coding RNA, 2831 nt
Organism: Triticum urartu
Lineage: Eukaryota; Viridiplantae; Streptophyta; Magnoliopsida; Poales; Poaceae
Source: RefSeq, a predicted model, not a curated record